CCUCGCCUGCGCAGCCUCUACGUCAUCCUGGAGGCGCGCAACUGCUGCAGCACGGAGCAGCGCGACGCCCACGCAGAUGUUGUCGGAAUGGACAGAGGACCUGGUGUUAGCAGCAGGAAAGGCAGGAGGUGCAGGUGUUCGGCAGGAAAGCAGUCGCGCUGGCGGCUUGGUGGGCAUUGACCUCCCAGGCGGUCUUGGCUUAAACGGAGGUGAGCAGCUCAGCAGCACCACGAACCCAUGUGCGUUCGCGCUGCUUGAAAGGCGACCGUGCAUCGGGGAUAGCGAACGGCAACAAGUCACGUGAUUUCGGCAUCCGGGAGCGGAGAAGCUUACAACAAGCGGCGGGUUGAUGCAAGUCGUAGUGAACCAAGCCGAGCACACAGCCUUUUGUAAGUGGGGCGGUGAUUCGCCGGAUGGCUCGGCAGGUUCCCAAAGCUGCCGCGAGUCCAGGAUGCUGUUCGGUUCUUCAGUGCUGUGGUGAUGCGGUGAGCGUUUUGGCUGUCGAGGAAGCCGCCGCUCCUUCGGCUUGAGAAGCGGGAUUCGCAGCUGCAGUAGCCGAUCACCCUCACGUGCAGCGGCCUCGAUGAAUGCGGCGAACUGGAUUCCGGUAGCUAAUUGCACUGCGUCAGCGCGAUGAUGAUGCGCUAACGCGGAUGUUAUUCGUAGCUGUGAACGCCUAGGUAGCCUUUGGUGGUUCUGCACAGGUAGUUGCGGGAUAGGACCAAUCAUAGAAGCUCCAGGUUCUCCCAGCUUCACAUGAAGGCGCGUCUGAUGUUCUCGUUCCCGGUGCAUCUGUGCAGAGCCUGCGGCAACGUGGGCGCGUCUUGCCAUUCGGCUAUGUUCAGGCGUUGGCGAUCCUCUGGCCAUGGCAAUCUUGGUUUCCCUCGAUGUGUUGGUGUGCGAGCACAGAGAAACAGGAAGCACUUCUUGUCCGUCUCGAACGAUUGCUGACGCUCGAAAAUGGCGAUUCGAUGAACGAGCAUCAGAUUCACGAGGACACGCGAGAGCGUUUCUAUCUCAUCGUGGAAUGGCGCGUGUUCGGCUGUGAAGUAAAGAAAAAGAAGUGGCUUCGCAAACUG
This 1079-nucleotide long non-coding RNA is filed under the name Dermacentor andersoni. Its description in RNAcentral is "uncharacterized LOC126545331". The record is from RNAcentral. Lineage: Eukaryota; Metazoa; Arthropoda; Arachnida; Ixodida; Ixodidae.